Molecule: ribosomal RNA, 1094 nt
Filed under: Escherichia coli
Lineage: Bacteria; Pseudomonadati; Pseudomonadota; Gammaproteobacteria; Enterobacterales; Enterobacteriaceae
Description: partial 23S ribosomal RNA
Rfam family: Bacterial large subunit ribosomal RNA
Source: RNAcentral
UGUGUGUUAGUGGAAGCGUCUGGAAAGGCGCGCGAUACAGGGUGACAGCCCCGUACACAAAAAUGCACAUGCUGUGAGCUCGAUGAGUAGGGCGGGACACGUGGUAUCCUGUCUGAAUAUGGGGGGACCAUCCUCCAAGGCUAAAUACUCCUGACUGACCGAUAGUGAACCAGUACCGUGAGGGAAAGGCGAAAAGAACCCCGGCGAGGGGAGUGAAAAAGAACCUGAAACCGUGUACGUACAAGCAGUGGGAGCACGCUUCGGCGUGUGACUGCGUACCUUUUGUAUAAUGGGUCAGCGACUUAUAUUCUGUAGCAAGGUUAACCGAAUAGGGGAGCCGAAGGGAAACCGAGUCUUAACUGGGCGUUAAGUUGCAGGGUAUAGACCCGAAACCCGGUGAUCUAGCCAUGGGCAGGUUGAAGGUUGGGUAACACUAACUGGAGGACCGAACCGACUAAUGUUGAAAAAUUAGCGGAUGACUUGUGGCUGGGGGUGAAAGGCCAAUCAAACCGGGAGAUAGCUGGUUCUCCCCGAAAGCUAUUUAGGUAGCGCCUCGUGAAUUCAUCUCCGGGGGUAGAGCACUGUUUCGGCAAGGGGGUCAUCCCGACUUACCAACCCGAUGCAAACUGCGAAUACCGGAGAAUGUUAUCACGGGAGACACACGGCGGGUGCUAACGUCCGUCGUGAAGAGGGAAACAACCCAGACCGCCAGCUAAGGUCCCAAAGUCAUGGUUAAGUGGGAAACGAUGUGGGAAGGCCCAGACAGCCAGGAUGUUGGCUUAGAAGCAGCCAUCAUUUAAAGAAAGCGUAAUAGCUCACUGGUCGAGUCGGCCUGCGCGGAAGAUGUAACGGGGCUAAACCAUGCACCGAAGCUGCGGCAGCGACACUGUGUGUUGUUGGGUAGGGGAGCGUUCUGUAAGCCUGCGAAGGUGGCCUGUGAGGGUUGCUGGAGGUAUCAGAAGUGCGAAUGCUGACAUAAGUAACGAUAAAGCGGGUGAAAAGCCCGCUCGCCGGAAGACCAAGGGUUCCUGUCCAACGUUAAUCGGGGCAGGGUGAGUCGACCCCUAAGGCGAGGCCGAAAGGCGUAGUCGAUG